This 3466-nucleotide long non-coding RNA is filed under the name Vigna radiata. RNAcentral describes it as "long non-coding RNA (VRAD_LNC010983)". Lineage: Eukaryota; Viridiplantae; Streptophyta; Magnoliopsida; Fabales; Fabaceae. The record is from RNAcentral.
CUUUUUUCCCUUUUUCCUAAAACUUAAGCGGAUUUUUAUUUUUCUCAAAACCUCUUGCUGCCAAUUUGAUCAGACUCCUUUUUCCCUUUCUUUUUUAACUUUGCUCCCAACUUUCAUCAGACCCAUUCCAAAAUAUCUCUUCCUAUUUUUCCCCAAAUCUCAACCCUCAAUUUCCACUUCAGUUUUGUUCAGAUCCUUCGUCCGGAGCUUUCGUCCAGUGCUUUCGUUCCAUUGUGCUCGUCGGCUAGGUUGAGCAAAGUGUGGUCGCCCACCAGUUCAGCAAAGUAUGGUCGUCGGCCAGGUUCAGCAAAGUGUGGUCGUCGUGCGCAACCUAACUCGCGACCAGGUUUAAUUCUUCAACCUGGUAUUUUUCCCGAACCCUUUUCUAAACCUCUUAUGCCCUGACAUCAAUGUUGUAGUAGAAGGUUGUUGCUUUGAAUUUAUAGACAUCCCUUUUGAUUUUAAAUUACUGUUGAUAAUUGUGUGGUUUGUAACUAAGAAAUUAUGGAAAACGUGGUUUGUCUGAUUAUCUUUGCCAUUGUGUUGGUCUGUUAUGUAUGUAUUAAUAUUAAAAAUCAGAACUAGAGUAAAAAGGUUAUUUGUCUUGGCUGUUGAAGGUUGGAUUAAGUUUCUUUUACGUAGUCAACUGAUAUUAUGAAAGUAGAAGUCUUUUGUGCAUUGUUGUUACUGGAUCUGUGCGUGUUUAAUGAAUUUUGGAAAGUUCCUUUUGGACAAGUUGUAAUAUAUUAGGUUUAAUAGUUAGACAAAUGAGUUAAGUAAAGAUUGAACAGGUUGCAUGUUAAAACUGGUACAAGAUAUGAGUUAAGUCUAUUGCCUAGAGUUUGAACAGAAUAUGUUUUUAGUCUAAUAGAAACAGCCUUAACAUCAGAGACAUUCCUGGAGCAUGAUGUAUAUUUGUACGUUUGAUGCUUUUGCUGCACUGAAAUUUUGGUUCUUGGUUGUUUAUUGGUGCUGUGUUAUAUUUUUUAAAAGAAAAAGAAAUUAGAGGUUUGAUGCUUAAUUUAGUACUCUCAGAUUAUAGGACUUAAGUAUAUGGGUUGAUCAUUGUAGUAGUUGCUGGUUUUGAGUGUGAUGCAAUUAUACUCUGUUUUGUGUACUCUGUCUGUUUGAGGGGCAUAGCUUGGAUGUCUAUGCAUACUGUUAAAGUUUAAAUACGGUUAAGGUAUUCAUAUCUCCUUAGAGAAAAAAUGUCUCCACUAACUCAUGGAUAAAGCAUUGUGUUGACAAAGUAUAUUAAACUGAAAUCAUUAAAAUACUAAUUCAACUUAAGAAUUUCAACAUUAACAGCAUAUGUAAGGAUAAGAUCAUAUUAUAAAAAAAGGUUAUUUAUAUAUAGCUGCUGUUAAUCAACAUUAUAUGUUCAAUCUCAUGUACAAAAUAACUUUAAAAAUCACCAAAGUAAUCAAACACUGACAACUUCAAGUCCUCAUGAUGUGUUAUAAAUAUCUUAUAUUAAUUUUAUCUUCCCGAAUUUGGUUAAAGUUAAAAUUAUUUUAUUUGCAUAGAAACCUGAUAUAUAUAUAUAUAUAUAUAUAUAUAUAUAUAUAUAUAUAUAUAUAAUAUUGUUUUCCUUAUUUUUUAAUCUUCUGUUAUGAAUGUUGAUUUUAGUGGUUUUUAUUUGUGAAUUAUCAGUUUAGUGCAUGAUAAGAGUUUCAGUUUGAUAAAUGAUUAAUUUAUGAAAAACCGCAAUUCCUAAUAAAGAUGGCAUAAAUUAAACAAAUAUUAAAUAAUUUAUGGACUUUAAUUUAGUCGUUUUAAUUGGUUUUUAAUUACAUUAAUGAAGAAUAAGAAACUAAUCUAUGGAUUUACAAGAUGCAGUUGUUGAGCAAAUAAUGUCACCAAGAUAAAAAUAUAGUUGACUCUAUCUUUAAGAACAUAAGAAACAAACAUAUUAAGGAUUAAAUAUGUCAUCUUUUAAAAUGUUUUUCGUCAAACAAACUCCCUUAUCUAUUUACAGUAUCGAUCAAAUUCCCUUUACUUACAAUUCAAAAUAUUGGAAUCUAUCUUUCUUUUAUAACUGUACCAUAGAAUCAUUGUUUUUUAUUGUAUAUUGAUUUGCUAUUUGAAAAUUUUGUGAUUUCACUUGGCUUAUGAUUAUAAAUUGUAAGGUUUGAAUGCUUGUGUUAUUGUACUGUGAUAUAAUAAGGUAUGUUGUUCAUUUAAUUCCAGCCAUAUAAUUUUAUAUUCCUGUUAGGUGCUUUAAGUAUGGUGGUGAUUGUAUUGGUUAUUGCAUGGGUAUUGAAACUGGGUUAUUGAAAAAAUAUAAUGGAAUAAUGAGGAAAAGUUGGUGUUUUAGUUCAUAUAAAAUUAGUUUUCUUAUAUGGUUUUAAAAGAAAAGUAAUCUCUAGGCAUGAAUAAGUCUUUGAGCAUUGACAUAUUUAUCUUGGUCAAAAUGAUUGAAUCCAUAAUUUGUUGAAACUAACGCAUAAGUAGGUGGUGCAAUGUUUAUGGAUUUUUUUAAAUAUAUAAUUGGUUAUUUAGUUUUUUAAAUUCUGGAAAAUUGUGCAUGAUAUAAAAGAAAAAUUGAAAUUUAAAUAUCUUUUUUUAAGUAAUAAACUAGCUUUUUAUAACUUGAAAAAUCUGUAUCUCUUUAAUAUUUUGAUUAUUUUGGGAUAUGAAUUUUUACCCUCUAAACCUAUUACUCUAAAGCUUACCAUCAAUAACAAGUAAUGCAAUAUAAGCUUAUAGUUUCAGCUUUUCUCCUAAACCACUUUGUAGGUAGUUCACAGAUUCAAACGUGCUUAUUAAUAAGCUGGUGUUAUAACUAAACUUGGGAGGCAUUGUGUUAUUACUGUGUUACUGAGUUGUUCUACUAUUUGGCUGCCAUCAAACUUUGGAAUCUCAUAGUUCUCAAGGUUAGUAAAUUUAAUUUCAUUUGGAAGCAUUUUAUUUAUUAAUUCAAUAUUUGUUUGUAUAUUCAUGAAUAUUGUUAUCUUUUUGAUGUGGUAGUGUAUUCCAUUUUGUUUAGGAAUAAUUUUGAAUGGAUUAAUCUUGGCAACAAAAGUACAACAGUUUAGAAUCAGCGCUUAAAGCAUACAUGAUAAUGAAAUGAAGGAAGGAAAGAUUCAUGAUGAAUUUACCUCAUUCUUUGAUUCUCAACUUCAAGUAAGUUACUGAUAUAGUUGAAGCAUUAUGUCUUAUAUACUUUAAUUAUAAGCAUUCCUUACUAUUAAUAUUUUUGUUUUAUCAUUUCAGGAAGGUGGUGAUGCAAAUGAGCCCAAGUCUUCUUUGGGUGGUACAAUAGGAUCAUUUGGUGCUAGAAACAUUUAGAAAGUUUAUGAUGUCUUUUAGGAUGAAACUAUAUUUAGCCUAUGGAUUUUGAGUAAUUGAGUUUAGUUGUAAUUACGAUUCAAUUUAACUUACUUUUAUAUACUAUGGUGUUUUUGAGAAUUGAAUGUUUUAAUGAUAUAUAAUUCAAGACUUUGGUAAAAGAAGUUUGUCAUGU